UGCUGUUUUGAGAGUUAUUUUGUUAUUUCUAUCCCAAGCAGUUAGAUGCUGUUUUUUCAAAACAAUGUAAUAUUUUUGCAUAUUUAUUAUAUAUGUCCGAACCGAUAGGCUGUAUUGCUCCAGCCAACUUACUGUUGUGGUAGCUGCAUUCUGGGGCAUCUCAGUUGUUAGUAGCUGGCUAGCAGGACUUCACAGGACCUAAGGAGAAUUGUUUCAAAGUUUCAAAUUCACAAAUUGAGUCUCAAGAUUUACAGGAUAAAUCAUCCCAGCAUCUUUUAAUACUUUGAAAAGCUUAUAAUAGGCUAAUAUUUACAUCUUCUACAGAACGACAUAUAUUUCUCUAAAGGAGAAAGAUUUACAGAGAUGUCUGCUGCAGAUCAGUGUGUAGUAAUAACCUGCUGUAACUUCAAGUAGUUGAAAAACUAAAUUAGAAAGGGGUAAAUCAUAACUAGAGUUUAGUUUCCCUGAAUGUCGUAGACUGGAACACAAAUACUUGUGCUCUCCAUUUUAUGCUUUUGUUUUUCCAAGAACAGAAUAUUAUGUUAUGUCACUCUUGGCUCAACUAUCGUGUGCUGCCAGAUAGGUGGGAGAAAGAUAAAUGUAUGUUUCUGAUAUGAGAGUCAGCAAUAAAACAGUCCUGAUAAUAGGCCCAAGGGAUUAAGAUGAAUAGGAAAAUGUCACAUUUAUGGAUAGUUUCAUUCUUUUCUAUGUACUAAUUUAAUUAUCAUGGUGGUCUAGUAUGUUUUAUGAUAUAUUGGCAUUUCUGUGUUUUUAUGCAUUUUAAUUUGUGCCUACCUAUGUACUAUACCAGGGAUAGGCAACCAAUGGCACACGAGCUGAUUUUCAGUGGCACUUACACUGUCCGGGUCCUGACCACCAGUCCGGGGGGCUCUGCAUUUUAAUUUAAUUUUAAAUGAAGCUUCUUAAACAUUUUAAAAACCUUCUUUACUUUAUUUACAACAAUAGUUUAGUUAUAUAUUAUAGACUUAUAGAAAGAGCCCUUCUAAAAACAUUAAAAUGUAUUACUGGCACGUGAAACCUUAAAUUAGAGUGAAUAAAUGAAGACUUGGCACCCCACUUCUGAAAGGUUGCCAACCCCGUGUACUGCACAUUCAUGCUCUAACUUUAUGGAGAAUUAUGCAUUGUGAGAAAUCAGUGGAACUGCUCUCAAGAAAGAAAGUUCAUCUUUGCAGGAUUGGGGCUUUAGAGAAUAUUUUUCAUAUGGCCUAUCCUUGAUCAAUAAAGUUAAAAUGUUACUUUCACUAAGUACUGGACUUAGUUUAGGAUUCUUUUAAAGAAAAUGUUUCUUUACAGUCAUGUCAGAAUUUUUUUUGAACCUUCACUUCCACACUACUUUGAAAAUUGUUAAUAUAUUUCUGACUUCACAAGCACAAGAACAUGGAAUUCUGCUGUAAACUGACUUAGAAAUAUAUAUAUGUUUGCUGAUUUACAGUAUUUAAUUAUAUUUAAUAUAUUUUCAUUGAUUUAUUUGUGAAAUAUUAAUAGUAAUGUAGCUAUUGAAAGAGUUAAUGUUCUAAUUGUAAGUAUUUAUAUAAUCCUGGUUAUUAAAUCUAUUAUAAUUGA
Molecule: long non-coding RNA, 1584 nt
Organism: Gopherus flavomarginatus (Mexican gopher tortoise)
Lineage: Eukaryota; Metazoa; Chordata; Testudines; Testudinidae
Exons: 2
Source: RefSeq, a predicted model, not a curated record